Molecule: ribosomal RNA, 1268 nt
Filed under: metagenome
Description: bacterial SSU rRNA
Rfam family: Archaeal small subunit ribosomal RNA
Source: RNAcentral
CUGGAAUGUUUUUUCUUACAAAGAUUACGCCUAAGGAUGAGUCGGCGCCCGAUUAGGUUGUUGGUGGGGUAAUGGCCCACCAAGCCAAAGAUCGGUAGGGGCCUUGAGAGAGGUAGCCUCGAGGAGGACACUGAGAUAAGGGUCCUGACUCCACGGAGUAUAGCAAGUGCGAAACCUUUACAAUGCACGAAAGUGUGAUAAGGGAAUUCUGAGUGCCUAUGUUUUGCAUAGGCUUUUGCCAAGUGUAAAAAGCUUGGAGAAUAAGUGGUGGGCAAGACUGGUGCCAGCAGCCGCGGUAACACCAGCGCCACAAGUAGGGACCACAUUUAUUGGGCCUAAAGCGUUCGUAGCCGGUCAGCUAAAUCUUUUGCGAAAUUGUUGGGCUUAACCUAACAGCUUGCAGAAGACACUAGCAGACUAGAGACCAGGAGGAGUUAGAGGUAUUCGGGGGGUAGCGGUAAAAUGCAAUAAUCCUCUGAGGACCACCAGUGGCGAAGGCGUCUAACUAGAAUGGGUCUGACGGUGAGGAACGAAAGCCAGGGGAGCGAACCGGAUUAGAUACCCGAGUAGUCCUGGCCGUAAACGCUGCGAGUUAGGUGUUGCAUAUUCCACGAAAUAUGCAGUGUCGUAGUGAAGAUGAUAAGCUCGCCGCCUGGGUAGUACGGUCGCAAGACUGAAACUUAAAGGAAUUGGCGGGGGAGCACAACAAGGGGUGCGGCGUGCGGUUUAAUCCAACUCAACGCGGAGAAUCUCACCAGAGGCGACGGCAGGAUGAAAGUCAGGUUGAAGACCUUACUUAACAAGCCGAGAGGUGGUGCAUGGCCGUCGUCAGCUCGUGCUGUGAAGUGUCCUGUUAAGUCAGGCAACGAGCGAGACCUGCACUUACAAUUGCCAUCAGCUCUUUUCAGAGGACUGGGCACAAUGUAAGGACUGCCUUGGUAACAAGGAGGAAGGUGCAGGCAACGGUAGGUCUGUAUGCCCCGAAUCCUCUGGGCUACACGCGCGCAACAAUGGUAGGGACAAUGGGACACAACUCCGAAAGGAGAAGUUAAACCUCUAAACCCUAUCUCAGUCCAGAUUGAGGGUUGUAACUCACCCUCAUGACGUUGGAAUCCCUAGUAACCAGACUUUAGCAUAGUCCGGUGAAUAUGUCCCUGCUCCUUGCACACACCGCCCGUCAAGCCAACCGAGCAGGGUUUAGGUAAAAUUCAGUUUUUUAACUAAAUUGAAUCUAAUCUCAGUGAGGUGGGCUAAGUCGUCACAAGGUA